Molecule: microRNA precursor, 68 nt
Organism: Bos indicus x Bos taurus (hybrid cattle)
Lineage: Eukaryota; Metazoa; Chordata; Mammalia; Artiodactyla; Bovidae
Source: Ensembl
UUGGCCCAAAAGUUUGUUCGGAUUUUUUAGAGAUGUAACAUAAAGACCUGAAUGAACUUUUGGGUCAA